GUGAACGUUGGCGGCGUGGAUUAGGCAUGCAAGUCGAGCGAUCGUAGCAAUACGGGAGCGGCAAACGGGGUAGGAAUACAUCGGAACGUACCUUUUGGUUGAGAAUAGCGUUGGGAAACUGACGGUAAUACUCAAUAAAGUCGAGAGACCAAAGGUUUACUGCCGGAAGAGCGGCCGAUGCGAUAUUAGGUAGUUGGUGGGGUAAUGGCCUACCAAGCCUGAGAUGUCUAGGGGGUGUGAGAGCAUGGCCCCCACCACUGGGACUGAGAUACUGCCCAGACACCUACGGGUGGCUGCAGUCGAGGAUCUUCGUCAAUGGGCGAAAGCCUGAACGAGCGACGCCGCGUGCGGGAUGAAGGCCCUUGGGUUGUAAACCGCUGUCAGGGGGGAUGAAACCGUAAGGUUGACAGAGCCCCAGAGGAAGCACGGGCUAAGUUCGU
This 440-nucleotide ribosomal RNA is filed under the name uncultured bacterium. RNAcentral's name for it is "bacterial SSU rRNA". It matches the Rfam family "Bacterial small subunit ribosomal RNA", at positions 29 to 506 of the family's 1533-position model. The record is from RNAcentral.